GAUGAAGAACGUAGCGAAAUGCGAUAAGUAGUGUGAAUUGCAGAAUUCAGUGAAUCAUCGAAUCUUUGAACGCACAUUGCGCCCCUUGGUAUCCCGAGGGGCAUGCCUGUUCGAGCGUCAUUUCACCACUCAAGCCUGGCUUGGUGUUGGGCGACGUCCCCUUUGGGGACGCGCCUCGAAACGCUCGGCGGCGUGGCACCGGCUUUAAGCGUAGCAGAUUCUUUCGCUUUGGAAGUCGGGGCCCCGUCUGCCGGAAGACCUACUCGCAAGGUUGACCUCGGAUCAGGCAGGGAUACCCGCUGAACUUAAGCAUAUCAAUAAGCGGAGGA
RNAcentral lists this unclassified non-coding RNA (329 nucleotides) under soil metagenome. RNAcentral's name for it is "partial contains 5.8S ribosomal RNA, internal transcribed spacer 2, and large subunit ribosomal RNA". The stretch from base 1 to 120 matches the Rfam family "5.8S ribosomal RNA", at positions 35 to 154 of the family's 154-position model. The record is from RNAcentral.